Molecule: ribosomal RNA, 340 nt
Filed under: uncultured bacterium
Lineage: Bacteria
Description: bacterial SSU rRNA
Rfam family: Bacterial small subunit ribosomal RNA
Source: RNAcentral
AACGAACGCUGGCGGCGUGCCUAACACAUGCAAGUCGUGCGAGAAAGUUCCUUCGGGAGCGAGUAAAGCGGCGCACGGGUGAGUAACACGUAGGUAACCUGCCCCCCAGUCUGGAACAACUAGAGGAAACUCUAGCUAAUGCCGGAUAAGACCACGGCCCCCCUCGGGGGCUGCGGCCAAAAGAUGGCCUCUACUUGUACGCUAUCGCUGAGGGAUGGGCCUGCGGCCAUUAGCUUGUUGGUGAGGUAACGGCUCACCAAGGCUGUGAUGGCUAGCUGGUCUGAGAGGAUGACCAGCCACACUGGGACUGAGACACGGCCCAGACUCCUACGGAGGCAGC